Molecule: transfer RNA, 75 nt
Filed under: Candidatus Saccharimonadota bacterium
Lineage: Bacteria; Candidatus Saccharimonadota
Description: tRNA-Glu
Rfam family: tRNA
About the family: Transfer RNA (tRNA) molecules are approximately 80 nucleotides in length.
Source: RNAcentral
GGCUCCAUCGUCUAAUGGUUAGGACACCAGGUUUUCAUUCUGGAAAUAGGGGUUCGAUUCCCCUUGGAGUCACCA